GAUGAACGCUGGCGGCGUGCCUAAUACAUGCAAGUCGAGCGAACAGAUAAGGAGCUUGCUCCUUUGAAGUUAGCGGCGGACGGGUGAGUAACACGUGGGUAACCUACCUAUAAGACUGGGAUAACUUCGGGAAACCGGAGCUAAUACCGGAUAACAUUUAGAACCGCAUGGUCCUAAAGUGAAAGAUGGUUUUGCUAUCACUUAUAGAUGGACCCGCGCCGUAUUAGCUAGUUGGUAAGGUAACGGCUUACCAAGGCGACGAUACGUAGCCGACCUGAGAGGGUGAUCGGCCACACUGGAACUGAGACACGGUCCAGACUCCUACGGGAGGCAGCAGUAGGGAAUCUUCCGCAAUGGGCGAAAGCCUGACGGAGCAACGCCGCGUGAGUGAUGAAGGGUUUCGGCUCGUAAAACUCUGUUAUUAGGGAAGAACAAAUGUGUAAGUAACUGUGCACAUCUUGACGGUACCUAAUCAGAAAGCCACGGCUAACUACGUGCCAGCAGCCGCGGUAAUACGUAGGUGGCAAGCGUUAUCCGGAAUUAUUGGGCGUAAAGCGCGCGUAGGCGGUUUCUUAAGUCUGAUGUGAAAGCCCACGGCUCAACCGUGGAGGGUCAUUGGAAACUGGGAAACUUGAAUGCAGAAGAGGAAAGUGGAAUUCCAUGUGUAGCGGUGAAAUGCGCAGAGAUAUGGAGGAACACCAGUGGCGAAGGCGACUUUCUGGUCUGUAACUGACGCUGAUGUGCGAAAGCGUGGGGAUCAAACAGGAUUAGAUACCCUGGUAGUCCACGCCGUAAACGAUGAGUGCUAAGUGUUAGGGGGUUUCCGCCCCUUAGUGCUGCAGCUAACGCAUUAAGCACUCCGCCUGGGGAGUACGACCGCAAGGUUGAAACUCAAAGGAAUUGACGGGGACCCGCACAAGCGGUGGAGCAUGUGGUUUAAUUCGAAGCAACGCGAAGAACCUUACCAAAUCUUGACAUCCUUUGAAAACUCUAGAGAUAGAGCCUUCCCCUUCGGGGGACAAAGUGACAGGUGGUGCAUGGUUGUCGUCAGCUCGUGUCGUGAGAUGUUGGGUUAAGUCCCGCAACGAGCGCAACCCUUAAGCUUAGUUGCCAUCAUUAAGUUGGGCACUCUAGGUUGACUGCCGGUGACAAACCGGAGGAAGGUGGGGAUGACGUCAAAUCAUCAUGCCCCUUAUGAUUUGGGCUACACACGUGCUACAAUGGACAAUACAAAGGGCAGCUAAACCGCGAGGUCAUGCAAAUCCCAUAAAGUUGUUCUCAGUUCGGAUUGUAGUCUGCAACUCGACUACAUGAAGCUGGAAUCGCUAGUAAUCGUAGAUCAGCAUGCUACGGUGAAUACGUUCCCGGGUCU
This 1372-nucleotide ribosomal RNA is filed under the name uncultured bacterium. RNAcentral describes it as "bacterial SSU rRNA". It matches the Rfam family "Bacterial small subunit ribosomal RNA", at positions 28 to 1381 of the family's 1533-position model. The record is from RNAcentral.